CGGCAGCACGAGAGAGCUUGCUCUCUUGGUGGCGAGUGGCGGACGGGUGAGUAAUAUAUCGGAACCUGCCCAUUCGCGGGGGAUAACUACUCGAAACAGUGGCUAAUACCGCAUACGCCCUACGGGGGAAAGGGGGGGAUCGCAAGACCUCUCACUAUUGGAGCGGCCGAUAUCGGAUUAGCUAGUUGGUGGGGUAAAGGCUCACCAGGUCACCAUCCCUAACUGGUUUGAGAUGACUGAUCAGCCACACUGGGACUGAGACACGGCCCAGACUCCCUACGGGAGGCAGCAGAGGGGGAAUUUUGGGACAAUGGGGGAAACGCCUGAUCCACCCAUCCCGCGUGUAUGAUGAAAGGCCUUCGGGUUGUAAAGUACUUUUGGCUGGAGAAGAAAAGGCAUCUCGCUAAUACGCCGAUGCUGCUGACGGUAUCUGCAGAAUAAGCACCGGGCUAACUACGUGCCAGCAGCCGCGGUAAUACGUAAGGUGCAAGCGUUAAUCGGAGUUACUGGGCGUAAAGCGUG
This 522-nucleotide ribosomal RNA is filed under the name Alcaligenes faecalis. RNAcentral's name for it is "bacterial SSU rRNA". It matches the Rfam family "Bacterial small subunit ribosomal RNA", at positions 67 to 569 of the family's 1533-position model. Lineage: Bacteria; Pseudomonadati; Pseudomonadota; Betaproteobacteria; Burkholderiales; Alcaligenaceae. The record is from RNAcentral.